This 631-nucleotide long non-coding RNA is filed under the name Salmo salar (Atlantic salmon). Its description in RNAcentral is "lncRNA (ENSSSAG00000103135.1)". The record is from RNAcentral. Lineage: Eukaryota; Metazoa; Chordata; Actinopteri; Salmoniformes; Salmonidae.
AAGGAGACAGCGAAUGUUCCUGAGCGGCCGAGUUUACAGGUUUUAUUGAUUUAUUUAUUUCACCUUUAUUUAACCAGGUAGGCUAGUUGAGAACAAGUCCUUUAUUUAACCAGGUUAGGCUAGUUGAGAACAAGUCCUUUAUUUAACCAGGUAGGCUAGUUGAGAACAAGUCCUUUAUUUAACCAGGUUAGGCUAGUUGAGAACAAGUCCUUUAUUUAACCAGGUUAGGCUAGUUGAGAACAAGUCCUUUAUUUAACCAGGUUAGGCUAGUUGAGAACAAGUCCUUUAUUUAACCAGGUUAGGCUAGUUGAGAACAAGUCCUUUAUUUAACCAGGUUAGGCUAGUUGAGAACAAGUCCUUUAUUUAACCAGGUAGGCCAGUUGAGAACAAGUCCUUUAUUUAACCAGGUUAGGCUAGUUGAGAACAAGUUCUCAUUUACAACUGCGACCUGGCCAAGAUAAAGCAAAGCAGUUCGACAACAUACAACAACACAGAGUUACACAUGGAAUAAAAACAAACAUACAGUCAAUAAUACAGUAGAAAAAUAAGUCUAUAUACAAUGUGAGCAGAUGAGGUGAGAUAAGGGAGGUCAAGGCAAUAAAUAAAGAGGCCAUGGUGGCGAAGUAAAUAC